GACGAACGCUGGCGGUGUGCUUAACACAUGCAAGUCGAACGGAAAGGCCCUGCUUUUGUGGGGCGCUCGAGUGGCGAACGGGUGAGUAACACGUGAGUAACCUGCCCUUGACUUUGGGAUAACUUCAGGAAACUGGGGCUAAUACCGGAUAGGAGCUCCUGCUGCAUGGUGGGGGUUGGAAAGUUUCGGCGGUUGGGGAUGGACUCGCGGCUUAUCAGCUUGUUGGUGGGGUAGUGGCUUACCAAGGCUUUGACGGGGAGCCGGCCUGAGAGGGUGACCGGCCACAUUGGGACUGAGAUACGGCCCAGACUCCUACGGGAGGCAGCAGUGGGGAAUAUUGCACAAUGGGCGGAAGCCUGAUGCAGCAACGCCGCGUGCGGGAUGACGGCCUUCGGGUUGUAAACCGCUUUCGCCUGUGACGAAGCGUGAGUGACGGUAAUGGGUAAAGAAGCACCGGCUAACUACGUG
This 468-nucleotide ribosomal RNA is filed under the name uncultured bacterium. Its description in RNAcentral is "partial 16S ribosomal RNA". It matches the Rfam family "Bacterial small subunit ribosomal RNA", at positions 28 to 507 of the family's 1533-position model. The record is from RNAcentral.